UACAGCGAGGUUCACGACAGGAGGUUCACGGCAGGGGUUCAGAGCCCGGUUCACUACAGUCCGGUUGACUACAGCACAGUUCAGCGGUGUGGUUCUGUACGGAGCAUUACGACGGUUCAGUGCGGAGUACUAUCAAGUACAGUUGAGGCGAACGGCGUCUUGAUCUUGGUCUGUGAUCGAGUCCGACACAACGAGCCUAGUGUGUGAGGUCAGUCCUGAACUGUUGAACCCAGUGCAAGCCCGGAACGAGACGGAGAUGCCAGUGCAAGAGUUGAUACGGCGGAACGGUGUUAUCGGAAAGAUAUUUGUACAGUGUACGUGUUGCCAAUUGUACAGUAUUGGCUGUUAUUUAUUCAACUAUUAAAGUGUUACGUUACUUUGGAGCCCUGAGUUGUCAAGUUCUUUAAGUUGGUGGUGUAAGGUGCAGUUUGCAGAGAGCCUGGAUAGUGAGAUUCGUAACAGUAUUAUUGUAUUUUAUAUUAUGUAUUUAUUAAUAGAUAUAGCCCCAAAUGAUUUCCGGGCAGUAUACUUUUACCCUGAUGUUCUGCAUCCUGGGGUACUCCCAAAUGUGACAUAUUUUUGUAGCCUUUCUCUGAGGGAUUCAACCUGUAUUGAAUCAUCAGAGGGGUUUACAUUUUUUUUAUAGCCUUCUCUCUGAGGGAUUCAACCUGUAUUGAAUCAUCAGAUGGGCUUUACCAAACGGAUGUCUAUAGGUGGGAUUCUAUGAAGCUUGUAGGCUCAUAGGUUUCCCUGAAGCCUAUAGUUCAUCAUGACCAUUUUUUUUUUGGCUAAAAGUGGCUAGUGUAAGCCUGAAGCCUGUAACCCUAGAGUAGCCAAAAGUGGUAGUGUUUCGACCUGAGGCAUGUGACCUUUAGUUGGCUGUGUAAGCCUGAAGUUUGUAACCCUAGAGUAGCCAAAAGUGGUCGUGUUUCGACCCGAGGCCUGUGACCUUCAGUUGGCUGUGUAAGCCGGAAGUUUGUAACCCAGUGGUCAAAAGUGGUCAUGUGUUAACCUGAGGCCUGUGACCUUUAUUUUACUCUUGUAAAUGUGUAUUCUCCAGAAUGUGACGAUAAUGUAACAUAUGACUAGGGCAGUGUGCCAUAUUAUUUUUGAGUAUCUUUUGUUUACUUUUUGUUGUGUCGGCCUGUUAGUUGAUGGCCAUUUAUUUACACAUUUAUUUUUCUCAUGUAAAUAAACUUUGUAAAUAUGUUUACCUGCGACUUUGUAAAGUCUUUUGUUGCAUACAUUAGUUGAAUUGUAUACCUGGAGGUUAUACCUAAUAACCUAGGCAGUACAAGAAGGGACCAGCACACCUCUGGACGAACGUGCCAGCAUUCUUUUAACACUGAUCUGUUGAUCUAAAGUACCUAAGUCUAGCUAUAAUUCUAAUAGAAUAUUUUUAGCUAUACCCGCUAAUAGGUAAUGUGAACUAAUCAUAUUGGUUCAUGAAUCCUCUUUAGGUCACAAUGCACUUGAAGCAUCUGUUGUUUUUCCAAAAUCAUGUUUAAUGUUUUUCAGUUUCCAUAAUCUUAGGAGAACUUGUUAUCUAGAAAACCAACUCACCUCGCAAUGAAGGAUAAGAUCACCUUGUUUCAUUUCUAACAGUUCACAAUAUUCUCUGUAUUCUCUUUUCUGUUCAAUCCUCUUGUUUAGAUUUUAUUUACACAUUUCAUAACUGGUAUCAUAACAUGCUUUAAAUUCCAACUUUUUCCACACUCUUGGUUUAUAAUUAAAUGAUAUCAAGACUAAGACUGCUUUAUUGAUCCUUAUUGGAAAUUUGGUGUAACUACAAGGACUUUUUUUUCAAUUAUAACCAACAAAAUUCUAGAAAGGAGAACAACAGACACAACACACAUUGAUUGACUCCACAAACACGUCUAGAUCUUUUCACGUUCCCUAGAAACCUUUCGAUCAAAGUUGCAGUUCCAGCGUCUUCCAGUUCAAAAGCCCAAACUGUCACGGUGGCCACUCAGCCGACUCCAAGGACUGCCCUGUGUGGAAACAGGAGGUUGCCGUGCAGGAGUACAAGGCAAGAAAUGGAUGUACCUUCAGCCAUGCUGGACAAAGACCUACGCCCAGCCUGUGGUUAAGAUAGAGAAAUCCAUAGCCACACAGACGGAUACAUUGACCCCACCACCUCCUCCUGCUCCUCCUCCAACUCAGAAACUCAAAACACCGCCAAAGGAUACACCUCCAAAGAGACAAGAAAGCCCUUUUGUCAUGCUAAAGAACAGGUUCUCUGUGCUGGCUGAUGAGAGCAUGGAGACUGAGCAGCAUGUCAAAACCAACACUCCGGGAGAACCCAGAGACAUUAUGUCUGACACAGGUUCUCCUCAGAGAACAUAGCCACACCCCAACCUCAACUGAGUUAGAGGUUGACCAACUCCCUAAGGGGAGAAGCCCAGUUAAAGAAGAUGCCCGAAGUGAGAGAGGAGGAAGCGGCCUCCGCUCUAAUCGGAUGGAUCUCCCCUCUCCAGAGAGAAAGACCUCCUCCAAAAGGAGGUUGUCCUCCUAUCCAUCCAAACCCAAGACUAAAAAUACCAAGGUCACUGGAAUAAAGGGAAACCCCUCCGGGGGCCUCCCAAGGCCUAAUAGCUCCAAGUAGGCUACUUAGAAUAAGCCAUGGAUUCCAGGAUUGUGCAGUGGAACUGUAGAGGCCUCAAGGCCAAUUAUGAGGAAAUGCAGCUACUGAUUGACUCUGAGACCCCUGUAGCUGUCUGCUUACAGGAAACAUUUCUGAAAGAUAGCAUUAGUUUCCGAAGCUAUAGUACUUACAGCAGAAAUGUUGAGGAUGCGAAGAGAGCAUCAGGUGGAAUCUGUAUCCUUGUGAAGGACAGCGUCCCCCAUGAGAGGGUAGAACUACAGGCCACACUACAGGCCGUAGCAGCUAGGAUAACCCUUCACAAGGUUAUCACUUGCUCCGGGCGCUCCAUUGAACCCAACAGACAUGGAAAACCUCAUAAAACAACUCCCUCGUGCUAUAUAAUCCUUAGGGAUUUCAAUGCCCAUAACACUACGUGGGGAUCCAGCAAUACUGACACAAGAGGUCGUAUGCUGGAGGAUAUCUUCCUCCAACAUGAUUUAUGCAUACUUAAUGAUGCAUCACCGACCUACUUGCACCCAAGAACUGGAUCUCUCACGUGCAUUGACCUCACCGUAUGUGUCCCCGGACUUCUGGACGAUUUUAAGUGGACAGUAAGCAAUGAUCUACGGGGAAGUGAUCACUUUCCAAUCAUCAUUGCUCCCCUCAUUGGGACGGCUUCAGCCGUGGAAGCUGAAUAAAGCUGAUUGGGAACAAUUUUAAGGAUAUCACAGAAAAUAUCAUAAAUGAACAGAACCCAGCUGAUAUCUUUGCUAGCAAGCUACUCGAUAUUGCCCUGAAAGUUGUCCCCCUAACCUCCGCAAACCUAAAACGGCCUAGCAAACCAUGGUUUGAUACAGCUUGCAAAAGUGCUAUUGGCGAUAGGAAAAAACGGCUGUCUGCAUUUAUAAAGAAUCCUUCCCAGGAAAAUCUAAAUCUAUUCAGGAUAGUUAGAACGAAGGCUAGACAAACCGUACGGUCAGCGAAAAGGAAUUCCUGAAGGAAUUUUGUAAGCAGUUUGGAUGCCAAAACUUCUGCUAGAGCGGUUUGGAAGGCAGUAAGGCGGAUCAAAGGGAAAGAAUCAAAUGCUAUAGGGUAAUUGAAAAACCAAGGACGAACUGUUACGUCCCCCAGAGAUAUAGCUUACUGCCUUGCAUCCUCAAUAGCAGAUAAAUCAUCCACUGCACACUACAUGCCAGAAUUCCAAAAAAUCUAAAUCAGGGAGGAAAGACACCCCAUUGACUUCAGAUCAGAGAACAAUGAUGAUUAUAACAAGCCGCUCUUGCUUGAAGAACUGAGGGACUCGCUGGGCAUAUCACAUGACACAGCGCCAGGAGAAGAUGAAAUCCAAUAUCAGUUCCUCAAGCAUAUUCUUCCUAAACCUUUAUUGGCAACCCUGCUAAAAAUCUAUAACUGUGUAUGGCAAACAGGCUAUUUCCCAUAUAGCUGGAGGAAAGCCACGGUUAUACCGAUACCUAAACCGGGAAGAGAUGGGUCUGACCCAGCUAACUAUCGCACUAACAAGCUGCAUCUGCAAAACCGUGGAAAGGAUUAUAAACAAUAUGUUGGUCUGGUACCUCGAGAGAAAUAAAAUCAUCUCCAACUACCAGUGCCGAUUCCGGCAGGGGCGGACAACAACUGACACCUGAUGUUAAGAUCUAACAGUCUAUAGCGACGAAAGAAAGGAGUUGGCUGCAUAUGGCUUUGGUCACACAUUUUUUCGAAGAGGACACAAUUGUAAGCUUGCUGGCUUAGUGAAACUUCAUUUUGAAUUUAAUUAAUAUAAACAGAAAUUUAAUAAUUUAUUAAGAAUAGAAAAUUCCACCAAUAAUGCUAAUAGAAACUUAUGAAUGAGCAUCAUUAUGAAAAGAAACUCAAAAAAAAGCAGCAAAGAUAAUAUAUGCUGUCAUAUUUUCUCAAUACUAUAAUGUUCCACACUUAAUAUCUAUCUGUAUGAUUUUAUAUCUAUAAGCACCUACAAUUUCAUUUUUUUUUAAAUUUUUAAUUCAUUAUAAAAACUUGUCUGUUUGGUUCCAGACAUUUAUAUUGCCAAAGUUUUUAAACAGUCGGGUUGAACCUGUAAGUGUUUUUCUUUAAAAUAUUUGAAACUAGACAUAUAUUGCCCGCGUAUUGCUGAUGUAGUCACUGAUAUAGUGCAUUAGAAACAAUGAAAGAAAAUAAUAAUGUUAUAAGUAAAGCGAAUGCAUGAAUUCAUGAAUAAAAAAAUAUUAUAAAUGGAGUUAAAAAUAGCUAAUUGACCUGAAUUCAAUUUUUUAUGAAAACAUUGGCGAACGAAUGUAGAUCUAUGUAAGAAUGGUUUAGAAAAACAAAUUUGAAUGUUAAUUUGAUUAAAAUAUGAAAUGAAUGGACUAUAAUUAAUAUGUUCAUGUGUUUAAUUAUAAAACUAUCUUUGCGAAGAGAAGUUGUAUCAUCUUAGAAGGAAUUAGAGUUUUAGACCUAGGAAUAGAGAGAUGUGUAACAUUUCGCUUAGUGUCUAAUGAAGGAAUGUUCGUCAGGAAUUCUAAAUUCGCAGAUAUAAGGAACGAAUUUCUGUAAAAAUGCAUUUGAAACACACAUUUGAAGCUUAAUUUUAUUAAAUAAUGAAAUCAAUAGACUAUAUUUUGUAUUUUCAUGUGUCAAAGUAAAAAACUUAUCUGCGCAAAGUGUAGUUUCUAAAAUUAGAUCUAGAUCGUUUCUAUCUUUUCAUGUAAAUAUGGUAAACAUAGCCUAGAUCGAUGAAGUUAUAAUGCUUUCAUAGAGUUGGUCAACUUUUUUUUUGAUGGUCUUAAGUUUGUUUUAGGGCUACAGUACAUAAACUACGGUCUAAGUUAGUACCCAAGGAACAUUUCUGCCAAGUUUAAUCAAGAUUGGUCAAACGGUUUUGAUUUCUAUUCGCACAUACAUACGCCUUACAUUCUACUUUAUAGUAUAAGAUGUGGAAGGGCUCUGGAAGCAUUAAUAUAACAACGAGAUGCCCGUUUUACUUAAGAGCUUAACUGGGCUUGAGAAAAAAUUCAAAUGAAUUAAAUUGUAUUAGAAUUAAAAUCAAUUUUUGUUUACAUAUGUUUUCAUUGUAGUUAAAGAAUAACUUUUAAAACAAUCAAUUUUGUAAACAAAUUAAAAUUGUAAUUACAUGUCUGGCAUUACUAUAUUUUAAACACAUUUGUUGUCACUCUGGUUUUAAGUUGACUUCUAUAAACUUGUUCUUCAUUAUAUAUA
Long non-coding RNA from Biomphalaria glabrata, 5800 nucleotides. RefSeq lists it as uncharacterized. NCBI's taxonomy places the organism in Eukaryota, Metazoa, Mollusca, Gastropoda, Planorbidae. The transcript is spliced from 3 exons. The record is from RefSeq and is a predicted model, not a curated record.